GUUAAAAUUAAAUUAAUCGUGAAGCUGCUGUCUUCCAUUAACUGCUGUGUCACUGUAAGAAAAUCUGCUCAUGCCACAAUAAAGGCAGAAACAGUUAUAAAGAAAUAUAGCAUGAACUGUCUAGCAUUUAUGCUAGGCAACAUAGUAUUAGAGUAGGAAAGGGAGCGUAUGACUCAGCUUCUAUCCAGAUGUACUCGUAAACAGAUUGAAUAUUUCUCAGAAGCUGGAAGGCAACAGAGUGCGUGCACUAAACCAAGUAUGAGAAUAGACUAGAGUAGUUCUGUUGGAAGGUACCUACAAAGAUCAAGUCCAACUGCCCGACCACUUCAGGGCUAACUAAAAGUUAAAGCAUAUUAAUGAGGGCAUUGUCCAAGUGCCUCUUGAUCACCAGCAGGCAUGGUGGCAACAGCCACCUCUCUAGGAAGCCUGUUCCAGUGUUUGACCACCCUCUCAGUAAAUAAGUUUUUCCUAAUGUCCAGCCUGAACCUCCAGUGUGGUUCAGCUUUGUGUUCCUGCAUGUCCUGUAAUCGGUUAUCAGGGAGAAGAGACCAGCACCUGCCUCGCUGUUUCCUCUUCUCAGGAAGUUGCAGGGAGCAAUGAGGUUGCCUCUCGGCCUCCUUUUCUCCAGACUGGGUAACCCAAGUGUCCUCAGCCUUCCCUGAGGAAGAAAGACUUCCUGUGAAAAUGGGUGUUGUUUAGCUUCCAGAUAAGAAGAAGCUAAGGUCCUGGAGCAUACAAUUCCGUGAUGAAGUCAGAUUCCCACAUAUCUGCAUUUGACUCCAAAGUGGAGUGUUUUAACGAACCAGAAGAGACCAUCCCUGGCCCUGGAGCAUACCAGGAUGACUCUUCUCUUAAUGGAAGUGUAAGGUCAGAGUCAGCAACCAGAGCCUCAGCAGCUGUUGCAACUCCCAAGGGACUUGUUCCUGCAGUCUUCAUAUUUACUGACUACUUCUGUCAGAGCUGAGGCUGGACCAGAAACACCGGUAUUCCUGCUGGAACUUAAGACAAUAGCGUUAAUAUGCAUAGCAGAUUGGUUAAAUGGUUGCUUUGAUUCCUUGCUAAAAAGGCAAUAGCAACUCCUGAGAAAAAAAGAUAUGCAUCAUGUUGAGAAAGUUUCUUUUCUGUUUUGUUAUUGUCUAUUCUGCCUGCUGUUUGGAAUGUGUAAAAUGAUUCUGACAAGCUUGAUAUGUGCCAAAACCCAGCAUGCCCACUGGUGGGAAGAUUAUCAUCACCCAGAUAUAAUAAAAAGCUUCUAGAAAAGUGCCUCUAAUGAUGG
Molecule: long non-coding RNA, 1276 nt
Filed under: Anser brachyrhynchus (Pink-footed goose)
Lineage: Eukaryota; Metazoa; Chordata; Aves; Anseriformes; Anatidae
Description: lncRNA (ENSABRG00000016079.1)
Source: RNAcentral